GCGCCCCAUAGAUCUCUAGGGGGUCCCUAUGGGGUGUCUGUGGGGUCCCUAGGGGUCAAUAUGGGAUCUAUGGGGCUCUAUGGGGUCCCUGUGGGUCAAUAUGGGAUCUAUGGGGCUCUAUGGGGUCCCUGUGGGUCAAUAUGGGAUCUAUGGGGCUCUAUGGGGUCCCUGUGGGUCAGUAUGGGAUCUAUGGGGCUCAAUAGGGUCCCUAUGGGGUCCCUAUGUGUCAAUAUGGGAUCUAUGGGGCUCUAUGGGGUCUCUGUGGGUCAAUAUUGGAUCUAUGGGGUCCCUAUGUGUCAAUAUGGGAUCUGUGAGGCUCUAUGGGGUCCCUAUGGGUCAACAUGGGAUCUGUGGGGCUCUAUGGGGUCCCUGUGGGUCCCUAUGGGUCUCUAUGGGAUCUCUAUGGGUCUCUAUGGGAUCUGUGGGGUCCCUAUGGGUCCCUAUGGGUCUCUGCGUGCCUCUGGAUCCCUUUGGGGUCCCUAUGGGGUCCUUAUGGGGUUUCUAUGGGGUGCCCCCAGGUCGUCAGGGAGACGUCGGACCAGGUGUCGUCUGUGGGUCCCUAUGGGGUCCCUAUGGGGUCCCUAUGGGGUCCCUAUGGGUUCCUAUGGGUCUCUGCGUCCCUAUGGGUCCCUUUGGGGUCUUUAUGGGAUCCUUAUGGGGUUUCUAUGGGGUGCCCCAGGUCCUCAGGGUGGCAUCAGACCAGGUGUCGUCUGUGGGCC
Tympanuchus pallidicinctus (lesser prairie-chicken) is the source of this 719-nucleotide long non-coding RNA. RefSeq lists it as uncharacterized. NCBI's taxonomy places the organism in Eukaryota, Metazoa, Chordata, Aves, Galliformes, Phasianidae. The transcript is spliced from 3 exons. The record is from RefSeq and is a predicted model, not a curated record.